This 1369-nucleotide ribosomal RNA is filed under the name uncultured bacterium. RNAcentral's name for it is "bacterial SSU rRNA". It matches the Rfam family "Bacterial small subunit ribosomal RNA", at positions 28 to 1381 of the family's 1533-position model. The record is from RNAcentral.
GACGAACGCUGGCGGCGUGCCUAAUACAUGCAAGUAGAACGCUGAAGAGAGGAGCUUGCUCUUCUUGGAUGAGUUGCGAACGGGUGAGUAACGCGUAGGUAACCUGCCUUGUAGCGGGGGAUAACUAUUGGAAACGAUAGCUAAUACCGCAUAACAAUGGAUGACACAUGUCAUUUAUUUGAAAGGGGCAAUUGCUCCACUACAAGAUGGACCUGCGUUGUAUUAGCUAGUAGGUGAGGUAAUGGCUCACCUAGGCGACGAUACAUAGCCGACCUGAGAGGGUGAUCGGCCACACUGGGACUGAGACACGGCCCAGACUCCUACGGGAGGCAGCAGUAGGGAAUCUUCGGCAAUGGGGGCAACCCUGACCGAGCAACGCCGCGUGAGUGAAGAAGGUUUUCGGAUCGUAAAGCUCUGUUGUAAGUCAAGAACGGGUGUGAGAGUGGAAAGUUCACACUGUGACGGUAGCUUACCAGAAAGGGACGGCUAACUACGUGCCAGCAGCCGCGGUAAUACGUAGGUCCCGAGCGUUGUCCGGAUUUAUUGGGCGUAAAGCGAGCGCAGGCGGUUUGAUAAGUCUGAAGUUAAAGGCUGUGGCUCAACCAUAGUUCGCUUUGGAAACUGUCAAACUUGAGUGCAGAAGGGGAGAGUGGAAUUCCAUGUGUAGCGGUGAAAUGCGUAGAUAUAUGGAGGAACACCGGUGGCGAAAGCGGCUCUCUGGUCUGUAACUGACGCUGAGGCUCGAAAGCGUGGGGAGCGAACAGGAUUAGAUACCCUGGUAGUCCACGCCGUAAACGAUGAGUGCUAGGUGUUGGAUCCUNUCCGGGAUUCAGUGCCGCAGCUAACGCAUUAAGCACUCCGCCUGGGGAGUACGACCGCAAGGUUGAAACUCAAAGGAAUUGACGGGGGCCCGCACAAGCGGUGGAGCAUGUGGUUUAAUUCGAAGCAACGCGAAGAACCUUACCAGGUCUUGACAUCCCGAUGCUAUUUCUAGAGGUAGAAAGUUACUUCGGUACAUCGGUGACAGGUGGUGCAUGGUUGUCGUCAGCUCGUGUCGUGAGAUGUUGGGUUAAGUCCCGCAACGAGCGCAACCCCUAUUGUUAGUUGCCAUCAUUCAGUUGGGCACUCUAGCGAGACUGCCGGUAAUAAACCGGAGGAAGGUGGGGAUGACGUCAAAUCAUCAUGCCCCUUAUGACCUGGGCUACACACGUGCCACAAUGGUUGGUACAACGAGUUGCGAGUCGGUGACGGCGAGCUAAUCUCUUAAAGCCAAUCUCAGUUCGGAUUGUAGGCUGCAACUCGCCUACAUGAAGUCGGAAUCGCUAGUAAUCGCGGAUCAGCACGCCGCGGUGAAUAAGUUCCCGGGCCU